UGGAGGUAUCGGAUGGUUGCCCGCCUCUUCGGCGGGAGGAAAGUCCGAACAUUCAUUGUGAGGUGUCGCGCAUGCGCAAUCUCACAAAAGGGUAAUGGGUAAUUCCCAUCGGGAGUAAUCCUAGAGGUGCGAGCAGAAACGACCCGGUUAAGUCCGGCUGAAACGGUCCCGAUUCCGUUUACGGAACCGAGGACUCCGACCUCGCAAGAGCGUCGGAGCAAAAUCCUUAUCUGAAUGCAAGGCCGUGUCCCGAGAGAAAUCGAGGGAAGUGCCGCUUGAUCCCGACGGUAACGUCGGGACUAGAUAAAUAGCUAUCGUCCGCUAAUCUGGCGGAACAGAAUUCGGCUUAUAGAUACCCACAAAAC
Molecule: RNase P RNA, 365 nt
Filed under: bacterium
Lineage: Bacteria
Description: RNase P RNA component class A
Rfam family: Bacterial RNase P class A
About the family: Ribonuclease P (RNase P) is a ubiquitous endoribonuclease, found in archaea, bacteria and eukarya as well as chloroplasts and mitochondria.
Source: RNAcentral